AACACGUGGGAACGUGCCCUUCAGUUCGGGAUAACCCAGGGAAACUUGGUGCUAAUACCGGAUACGUGCGAGAGCAGAAAGAUUUAUCGCUGAAGGAUCUGGCCCGCGUCUGAUUAGCUAGUUGGUGGGGUAAUGGCCCACCAAGGCGACGAUCAGUAGCUGGUCUGAGAGGAUGAUCAGCCACAUUGGGACUGAGACACGGUCCAAACUCAUACGGGAGGCAGCAGUGGGGAAUAUUGGACAAUGGGCGCAAGCCUGAUCCAGCCAUGCCGCGUGAGUGAUGAAGGCCUUAGGGUUGUAAAGCUCUUUCGUCCGGGACGAUAAUGACGGUACCGGAAGAAGAAGCCCCGGUUAACUUCGUGCCAGCCGCCGCGG
This 375-nucleotide ribosomal RNA is filed under the name uncultured bacterium. Its description in RNAcentral is "bacterial SSU rRNA". It matches the Rfam family "Bacterial small subunit ribosomal RNA", at positions 112 to 520 of the family's 1533-position model. The record is from RNAcentral.